CACGUAGUUAGCCGGGGCUUCUUAGUCAGGUACCGUCAUUAUCUUCCCUGCUGAUAGAGCUUUACAUACCGAAAUACUUCUUCACUCACGCGGCGUCGCUGCAUCAGGGUUCCCCCCAUUGUGCAAUAUUCCCCACUGCUGCCUCCCGUAGGAGUCUGGACCGUGUCUCAGUUCCAGUGUGGCCGAUCACCCUCUCAGGUCGGCUACGUAUCGUCGCCUUGGUAAGCCGUUACCUUACCAACUAGCUAAUACGGCGCGGGUCCAUCUAUAAGUGAUAGCAAAACCAUCUUUCACUUUAGAACCAUGCGGUUCUAAAUGUUAUCCGGUAUUAGCUCCGGUUUCCCGAAGUUAUCCCAGUCUUAUAGGUAGGUUACCCACGUGUUACUCACCCGUCCGCCGCUAACUUCAAAGGAGCAAGCUCCUUAUCUGUUCGCUCGACUUGCAUGUAUUAGGCACGCCGCCAGCGUUCAUCCUGAGCCAGGAUCAAACUCU
This 492-nucleotide ribosomal RNA is filed under the name uncultured Bacillota bacterium. RNAcentral describes it as "uncultured Firmicutes bacterium partial 16S ribosomal RNA". Lineage: Bacteria; Bacillati; Bacillota. The record is from RNAcentral.